Molecule: ribosomal RNA, 784 nt
Filed under: Fusarium oxysporum
Lineage: Eukaryota; Fungi; Ascomycota; Sordariomycetes; Hypocreales; Nectriaceae
Description: SSU rRNA
Rfam family: Eukaryotic small subunit ribosomal RNA
Source: RNAcentral
GGUUAAAAAGCUCGUAGUUGAACCUUGGGCCUGGCUGGCCGGUCCGCCUCACCGCGUGUACUGGUCCGGCCGGGCCUUUCCCUCUGUGGAACCCCAUGCCCUUCACUGGGUGUGGCGGGGAAACAGGACUUUUACUGUGAAAAAAUUAGAGUGCUCCAGGCAGGCCUAUGCUCGAAUACAUUAGCAUGGAAUAAUAGAAUAGGACGUGUGGUUCUAUUUUGUUGGUUUCUAGGACCGCCGUAAUGAUUAAUAGGGACAGUCGGGGGCAUCAGUAUUCAAUUGUCAGAGGUGAAAUUCUUGGAUUUAUUGAAGACUAACUACUGCGAAAGCAUUUGCCAAGGAUGUUUUCAUUAAUCAGGAACGAAAGUUAGGGGAUCGAAGACGAUCAGAUACCGUCGUAGUCUUAACCAUAAACUAUGCCGACUAGGGAUCGGACGGUGUUAUUUUUUGACCCGUUCGGCACCUUACGAGAAAUCAAAGUGCUUGGGCUCCAGGGGGAGUAUGGUCGCAAGGCUGAAACUUAAAGAAAUUGACGGAAGGGCACCACCAGGGGUGGAGCCUGCGGCUUAAUUUGACUCAACACGGGGAAACUCACCAGGUCCAGACACAAUGAGGAUUGACAGAUUGAGAGCUCUUUCUUGAUUUUGUGGGUGGUGGUGCAUGGCCGUUCUUAGUUGGUGGAGUGAUUUGUCUGCUUAAUUGCGAUAACGAACGAGACCUUAACCUGCUAAAUAGCCCGUAUUGCUUUGGCAGUACGCUGGCUUCUUAGAGGGACUAUCGGCUC